GGAGGGUUGGCCGAGCGGUUUAUGGCGCUGGUCUUGAAAACCAGUUGGGGCGAAAGCUCCUCGCAGGUUCAAAUCCUGCACCCUCCGCCA
This 90-nucleotide transfer RNA is filed under the name Parcubacteria group bacterium. RNAcentral's name for it is "tRNA-Ser". It matches the Rfam family "tRNA". Rfam says of the family: Transfer RNA (tRNA) molecules are approximately 80 nucleotides in length. Their secondary structure includes four short double-helical elements and three loops (D, anti-codon, and T loops). The record is from RNAcentral.